GAUGAAGAACGUAGCGAAAUGCGAUAAGCAAUGUGAAUUGCAGAAUUCAGUGAAUCAUCGAAUCUUUGAACGCACAUUGCGCCCGCCAGUAUUCUGGCGGGCAUGCCUGUUCGAGCGUCAUUUCAACCCUCAGGCCCCCAGUGCCUGGUGUUGGGGAUCGGCCCAGCCUUCCUGUAAGGCCGCCGGCCCCGAAAUCUAGUGGCGGUCUCGCUGUAGUCCUCCUCUGCGUAGUAGCACAACCUCGCAGUUGGAACGCGGCGGUGGCCAUGCCGUUAAACACCCCACUUCUGAAAGUUGACCUCGGAUCAGGUAGGAAUACCCGCUGAACUUAAGCAUAUCAAUAAGCGGAGGA
Molecule: unclassified non-coding RNA, 352 nt
Filed under: soil metagenome
Description: partial contains 5.8S ribosomal RNA, internal transcribed spacer 2, and large subunit ribosomal RNA
Rfam family: 5.8S ribosomal RNA (bases 1-120)
Source: RNAcentral